This 309-nucleotide long non-coding RNA is filed under the name Phaseolus vulgaris (common bean). Its description in RNAcentral is "long non-coding RNA (PVUL_LNC001071)". The record is from RNAcentral. Lineage: Eukaryota; Viridiplantae; Streptophyta; Magnoliopsida; Fabales; Fabaceae.
CCUCACAUUUCUACUCCCCAAUCCAAACAAAACAUAUUUUUACCUUUUUUUCCACUGCCCAUACUUUCAGAUCGCACAUUCAAAUUAUUUGUGUGCAUUUUAAAUUUAUUUAUUAAAAGAAUUACAUUGUCAUGGUUACAUCUUAAAUGUAUUUUUAUGAUUUAUAGCUAUUGUUUGUUAACAUAUCAUUCCUUAAUUAGAAAAAUGUGUUAGCAAGAAACUACUCUAUAUUUAUCAUCAUCGUAGCAAUAACUUGUUAACAUACUUGUAAAAAUGAGUGGAUCCCUUUUAAACUUAGGAAGAAAAAAC